GUUCUUUAGCCGUCACCAUCAUUCCACUUUGCCUCACCCACCUCUCCCCCGUUGAAAACCCACUAAUUCAGCUCCUUUGACUCUGGAAAUUUGGUGAAAGUGAAAAAUCAGUUUUUAAGCCAUGAAUUGGAGAGCUGAGUAUUUUUAGGGGAGUUUGUGGAAGUUGGAGUGUAAUGCAAUCUUUUCUUCUCCCCUUAUCCCAGAGCUUCGGCAUUUUUGUCAUCCUUUUUAUGCCUGGGUCUUUCCCAGUAGGAGAAAGGAUGGCACCGCAACCUGAGGGCUUGAGGACGGACUUUUAAGAAGAACUUCCCAAAAGAGUUUGAUAAGAAUGGGGUGGACCCAUGGGGCCUGCAGUCACUCUGGCCGACCCUUCGACCCUCAAGAACCUCCAUCAGCGCCAGGGAGCCUGGGCUCGGAACCGCCUCUGCCCCAGCAGCGCCCUCUUUGUGCCCUUCCCUCCCCUUCCUGCGCCCCAAUUUCCAGAGGGUCUAAACACACUGACCCCCAAAGAGAAGCCCUGCAGAGCAGAGACCUCACCCUGAGAAGGUGGGUAAAAAGAAGAGAGCCCCUGUCACGUGUCAGGCCGAGAGCUGG
Molecule: long non-coding RNA, 594 nt
Filed under: Bos mutus (wild yak)
Lineage: Eukaryota; Metazoa; Chordata; Mammalia; Artiodactyla; Bovidae
Description: lncRNA (ENSBMUG00000014159.1)
Source: RNAcentral